GAGUGAAGCGGCAAAAGCUCAAAUUUGAAAUCUGGCUCUUUCAGAGUCCGAGUUGUAAUUUGAAGAAGGUAUCUUUGGGUCUGGCUCUUGUCUAUGUUUCUUGGAACAGAACGUCACAGAGGGUGAGAAUCCCGUGCGAUGAGAUGAUCCAGGCCUAUGUAAAGUUCCUUCGAAGAGUCGAGUUGUUUGGGAAUGCAGCUCUAAGUGGGUGGUAAAUUCCAUCUAAAGCUAAAUAUUGGCGAGAGACCGAUAGCGAACAAGUACAGUGAUGGAAAGAUGAAAAGAACUUUGAAAAGAGAGUGAAAAAGUACGUGAAAUUGUUGAAAGGGAAGGGCUUGAGAUCAGACUUGGUAUUUUGUAUGUUACUUCUUCGGGGGUGGCCUCUACAGUUUAUCGGGCCAGCAUCAGUUUGGGCGGUAGGAGAAUUGCGUUGGAAUGUGGCACGGCUUCGGUUGUGUGUUAUAGCCUUCGUCGAUACUGCCAGCCUAGACUGAGGACUGCGGUUUAUACCUAGGAUGUUGGCAUAAUGAUCUUAAGUCGCCCGUCUUGAAACACGGACCA
RNAcentral lists this ribosomal RNA (561 nucleotides) under [Candida] sp. 8s-1. Its description in RNAcentral is "eukaryotic LSU rRNA". It matches the Rfam family "Eukaryotic large subunit ribosomal RNA", at positions 91 to 668 of the family's 3401-position model. Lineage: Eukaryota; Fungi; Ascomycota; Saccharomycetes; Saccharomycetales. The record is from RNAcentral.